AUCCAUCUGACGAGUCUUGAAUAGGACGAAAUGCGCGUCCUGAAU
Non-coding RNA from Schistosoma mattheei, 45 nucleotides. Lineage: Eukaryota; Metazoa; Platyhelminthes; Trematoda; Strigeidida; Schistosomatidae. The record is from Rfam.